Molecule: transfer RNA, 95 nt
Filed under: Methylobacterium thuringiense
Lineage: Bacteria; Pseudomonadati; Pseudomonadota; Alphaproteobacteria; Hyphomicrobiales; Methylobacteriaceae
Description: tRNA-Glu
Source: RNAcentral
CCCCGGUUCUGGCGGGGCUGCUGCGCGUCGCCGGCCUCGACGGCGACGACGGCUGGGGCCGGCAUCCGCUGGCGCUCGGGCCGCUGACCGGGGGC